CCGCUGAACUUAAGCAUAUUAAUAAGCGGAGGAAAAGAAACUAACAAGGAUUCCCCUAGUAACGGCGAGUGAAGCGGGAAGAGCUCAAGCUUAAAAUCUCCGUGCAAGUUUUGUGCGGCGAAUUGUAGUCUAUAGAGGCGUGGUCAGCGUGGGCGCUUGGGGCAAGUUCCUUGGAAGAGGACAGCAUGGAGGGUGAUACUCCCGUUCAUCCCUGAGUGGCUYGUGCGUACGACCCGUUUUCUUUGAGUCGCGUUGUUUGGGAAUGCAGCGCAAAGUAGGUGGUAAAUUCCAUCUAAAGCUAAAUAUUGGUGCGAGACCGAUAGCGAACAAGUACCGUGAGGGAAAGAUGAAAAGAACUUUGAAAAGAGAGUUAAAGAGUACCUGAAACUGCUGAAAGGGAACCGAAUCGUUUCCAGUGUCUAUAAUCCGUGACAUAUUUCAUUGGCGAGUGUGUGCGUGCGUGUGCUGUGGCAGUGGCUUUUUUGGCUGCGCUCGGUGUGUGUGCUGUGUGUGCUUGCUGGUGCCCUGUGCUGCGGUGGGACGUCAAGGUCAGUUCUUAUGCUGCGGGAAAUGGCUGCCGAGGAGGUAGGGCUUACGCUUGCGUUUGUCUGUUAUAUCUUGGUGGACGAGUAGUCGCGGUUGGGACUGAGGUGCCUACAACGUGCUUUUGAGUGGGUUUGUGUCUCCGUGUGCGCCGUGUGCGGAUAGCUUGCUAUGCGUGUGUGGUUGUGUGUGGAUUGAUGCGGGCUUUAACUUGUUGCCGUUCGGGACGUUGACGAAAUGGAGCGAUCCGACCCGUCUUGAAACACGGACCAAGGAGUCUAACAUGUGUGCAAGUGUUAGGGUGUGGAAACCCCAGCGCGAAAUGAAAGUAAAGGGCAGCGCAAGUUGUCUGAGGUAGGAAAUGUUGCGGGCUUCGGUCUGCGGCGUGGCACUAUCGACCGAUCAUGAACCUUCGUGGUGAAAGAUUUGAGUUUGAGCACAUAUGUUGGUACCCGAAAGAUGGUGAACUAUGCCUGAGUAGGGUGAAGCCAGGGGAAACUCUGGUGGAAGCUCGUAGCGAUUCUGACGUGCAAAUCGAUCGUCAAACUUGGGUAUAGGGGCGAAAGACUAAUCGAACCAUCUAGUAGCUGGUUCCCUCCGAAAUUUCCCUCAGGAUAGCAGCAACUUAUUUACGAUAGUUUUAUGAGGUAAAGCGAAUGAUUAGAGGAUUCGGGGAAGAAACUUCCUCGACCUAUUCUCAAACUUUAAAUCUGUAAGACCUGCAGGUUUCUUAAUUGAACUUGUGGAUGUGAAUAUCAAGUUGCUAGUGGGCCAUACGGGGUAAGCUCGUCUGGCG
This 1339-nucleotide ribosomal RNA is filed under the name Phytophthora quercina. RNAcentral describes it as "eukaryotic LSU rRNA". It matches the Rfam family "Eukaryotic large subunit ribosomal RNA", at positions 25 to 1155 of the family's 3401-position model. The record is from RNAcentral. Lineage: Eukaryota; Oomycota; Peronosporomycetes; Peronosporales; Peronosporaceae.